AUUGAACGCUGGCGGCAUGCCUUACACAUGCAAGUCGAACGGUAACGGGCCUUCGGGUGCCGACGAGUGGCGAACGGGUGAGUAAUGUAUCGGAACGUACCUUUCAGUGGGGGAUAACGUAGCGAAAGUUACGCUAAUACCGCAUAUUCUGUGCGCAGGAAAGCAGGGGAUCGCAAGACCUUGCGCUGAUUGAGCGGCCGAUGUCAGAUUAGCUAGUUGGUGAGGUAAAGGCUCACCAAGGCGACGAUCUGUAGCGGGUCUGAGAGGAUGAUCCGCCACACUGGAACUGAGACACGGUCCAGACUCCUACGGGAGGCAGCAGUGGGGAAUUUUGGACAAUGGGGGCAACCCUGAUCCAGCCAUGCCGCGUGAGUGAAGAAGGCCUUCGGGUUGUAAAGCUCUUUCGGCCGGGAAGAAAUCGUAUGGUUAAUACCCUGUGCGGAUGACGGUACCGGCAUAAGAAGCACCGGCUAACUACGUGCCAGCAGCCGAC
This 493-nucleotide ribosomal RNA is filed under the name uncultured bacterium. RNAcentral's name for it is "bacterial SSU rRNA". It matches the Rfam family "Bacterial small subunit ribosomal RNA", at positions 30 to 518 of the family's 1533-position model. The record is from RNAcentral.